CCUCAAACAAAAGGAAUCAGUCCACGUUUGUUACAAAUGGUGGUCAAAUGCCACCCACACAAAAUAGUUGAAUUAAAAAAUUCAACUUAAAUACAAAUUCGCAAAUGAAAAAACCGUCUAUAGAAACAAAAGAAGUGUAGAGCCACAUCUUCAAUGUACGACACACUUCAGUUAAGUAUCCUUAAGGUUCAUGUCUUUGCAAU
RNAcentral lists this long non-coding RNA (203 nucleotides) under Setaria italica (foxtail millet). RNAcentral describes it as "long non-coding RNA (SITA_LNC001363)". The record is from RNAcentral. Lineage: Eukaryota; Viridiplantae; Streptophyta; Magnoliopsida; Poales; Poaceae.